UUAUUUAGUGUUGAAGCUAUCCUAUAAGCCUCGGUAUGGAUGGCAUGGUGCUCUCAACGCGUAGCAAAACAGAUCUUAAGUCCAAGCAUUGAUUGUCUUCGGGUGGUGUUCCCG
Etheostoma cragini (Arkansas darter) is the source of this 114-nucleotide long non-coding RNA. RefSeq lists it as uncharacterized. The record is from RefSeq and is a predicted model, not a curated record. Lineage: Eukaryota; Metazoa; Chordata; Actinopteri; Perciformes; Percidae. The transcript is spliced from 3 exons.